This is an unclassified non-coding RNA of Fukomys damarensis (Damara mole-rat), 337 nucleotides long. Its record names the gene 7SK. It matches the Rfam family "7SK RNA". Rfam says of the family: 7SK was discovered as an abundant small nuclear RNA in the mid-70s but a possible function has only recently been suggested. Two independent studies have found that 7SK RNA binds the CDK9/cyclin T complex (known as elongation factor P-TEFb). NCBI's taxonomy places the organism in Eukaryota, Metazoa, Chordata, Mammalia, Rodentia, Bathyergidae. The record is from Ensembl.
GGAUGUGAAGGUGAUCUGGCUGCAACAUUUGUCACCCGCUCGAUUGUCAGGAUUGAUUUGGUCAAUCUGGCUGGCUAGGCAGGUAUCCCUUCCUUCCUCACUGCUCCACGUGCAUCCCUCCCAAGCAUCUGGGAGUCCAGUUGAAGAGGACGGCCACCUUUUCCUCCAUCAAGGCUAUGCAAAUAGCUGUGCUUUCCUGCUAGAACCUCCAAACAAGCUUUCAAAUGUUACUGUGAUCAUAACAUUAGAUUUGCAAAGGCUUUGAGGUAGUAGUAACUUGGCAAACAUUAGGAAUGGCAAACAGACCAGUAUGAAUCCAAAGGAAAGAUCCUAGUAU